This 200-nucleotide ribosomal RNA is filed under the name Bacillus thuringiensis. Its description in RNAcentral is "partial 23S ribosomal RNA". It matches the Rfam family "Bacterial large subunit ribosomal RNA", at positions 1455 to 1651 of the family's 2925-position model. Lineage: Bacteria; Bacillati; Bacillota; Bacilli; Caryophanales; Bacillaceae. The record is from RNAcentral.
CGUUUGAGCAAUGGAGGGACGCAGAAGGAUAGAAGAAGCGUGCGAUUGGUUGUGCACGUCCAAGCAGUUAGGCUGAUAAGUAGGCAAAUCCGCUUAUCGUGAAGGCUGAGCUGUGAUGGGGAAGCUCCUUAUGGAGCGAAGUCUUUGAUUCCCCGCUGCCAAGAAAAGCUUCUAGCGAGAUAAAAGGUGCCUGUACCGCA